AUUGAACGCUGGCGGCAGGCCUAACACAUGCAAGUCGAGCGGAUGAAGGGAGCUUGCUCCUGGAUUCAGCGGCGGACGGGUGAGUAAUGCCUAGGAAUCUGCCUGGUAGUGGGGGAUAACGUCCGGAAACGGGCGCUAAUACCGCAUACGUCCUGAGGGAGAAAGUGGGGGAUCUUCGGACCUCACGCUAUCAGAUGAGCCUAGGUCGGAUUAGCUAGUUGGUGGGGUAAAGGCCUACCAAGGCGACGAUCCGUAACUGGUCUGAGAGGAUGAUCAGUCACACUGGAACUGAGACACGGCCCAGACUCCUACGGGAGGCAGCAGUGGGGAAUCUUGGACAAUGGGCGAAAGCCUGAUCCAGCCAUGCCGCGUGUGUGAAGAAGGUCUUCGGAUUGUAAAGCACUUUAAGUUGGGAGGAAGGGAAGUAAGUUAAUACCUUGCUGUUUUGACGUUACCAACAGAAUAAGCACCGGCUAACUUCGUG
This 484-nucleotide ribosomal RNA is filed under the name uncultured bacterium. Its description in RNAcentral is "partial 16S ribosomal RNA". It matches the Rfam family "Bacterial small subunit ribosomal RNA", at positions 30 to 507 of the family's 1533-position model. The record is from RNAcentral.